Molecule: long non-coding RNA, 1877 nt
Filed under: Fukomys damarensis (Damara mole-rat)
Lineage: Eukaryota; Metazoa; Chordata; Mammalia; Rodentia; Bathyergidae
Description: lncRNA (ENSFDAG00000025987.1)
Source: RNAcentral
GGCCCUGCCUGUGUCACCUGCACAGCAUCCUGGGGAGACUUCGCCUGUGGGUCAUGAGCCUUUCCACAGUGAGGUGGAGCAUGAAGACCUCCAUGGGUGACAGGCCUUGCAAGCGCUGUGUUCGAGACAGACCUGUGUAUGUCCUUGAAUCACUUGUCACGCUGGGGAUGAAAGUCCAGGAUCUCAGAGGUCAACCCCGGAAGGAGCCAUCGACAGCUGCCAGCCCAGCCUCCAGGUCAGUGGAGGCGGCAGGCACACAGGAGGAAAGGGUGUGGGUGAUGGUGGCCAGCGGUGCAGAACCCAGAGUCCUGCAGCUCCCUGCAGGUGUCCACCUGGCCCCGGCCCCGGGACUGUCAUGGCUGCAGGCUGUUGGCUCCAGGAGGCUGUGGCCUCUCCACCAGCUGACCCCCUUUCUAGGCUCAGGAGAAGGGUUUGUGAGGAAUUCACCAUUUGUUCUUCAAAUGUUUUGCAUUUUUCCUGGAAAUUGGAGUGAUCCCAGAAGGGCCUGGAGCUGCCGGCCUGACCUCGGCAGGAUGCAGCAGUGCUGGCUGUGGAGUCUUCGAUUCUGAGGCAGCCUUUCCAGGAAUUGCUGCUUGGUGCCCUGAGGCUGCAGGACCAGGAUCAAGGGUGGCUGCUGCUGGGGGUGCAGGUGGGGUGGAGUAAAGCCGGAAGUGAAGCCCCUGCGGGGUUUCUCAGCCCACCGGGCCCUUCCCAGGGGCUUCUGAGGCUUUGGCUUCCUGAACAGUGAGUGGCCAUAGCACUGCUAUGGAAUUGAGCUGCUGUACGACUUAGGGGAAGGCCCUGCAAGUCUCUGAGCCUCUGCUUUCUUGUCUUUAAACAAGAGAAUGGGAAGUGAAUGGCACAUUGGAAACUCAGCACUCUGGGAAGCUGAGGCAGGAGGAUUUCAAAUGACUUGAAAUUUCAAAUGACUUGAGCCCAGCCAGCCUGGAAAUUUAGGAGUUAAGAGAGAUGUCUCAAAAAAAAAGCAAGGGAGGUGAAGAGUGGAGAUGUUUUCCAUGCUGCUUGCCCAGUGGUCACUCUGGCCUGAAUCACCAUGGUGGAUGGCUUUCUUCACCUUUCUGGGUCUUAGAUUCUGCUUUCAGUUGGUGCGCAUGCGUGAGUGAGGUAGGACCAAGCCUGCAGAGCCUGGAGGGGCUGGGGGCUCUGGGUGUGGUCCCAGCUAUGCACCCUGCCCUGUGCUUUGCUGCCUGGCUCUUCUUAGGCCUGGGGCCUGUCCAAGUCAAGCUGGGCCCUCCGUCUUUGGCCUAGACUGGGUGCUCACUGUCUCCCACUCUGGUUCCUUCUCUUCCCUUCUCCUGCUUGGGGCAAUGGCCUUGGCCCUGGAUUUGGGGCCCUGCUCACUUGGCCUGGCUGCCUGCCUGAGCCCCAGGGUGGGACUCGGGCCCUCACAGCCACCCCUUCUGCUGCCCUUCCCUAGCCCAGCCUCUCCCAGGCAUCUCCAUCAGAGCAUCCCGGGCAGACCACAUGGCAUGCCACUCUCUGCCAAAGGCACUGUGAGCCACUGGGCCUUUGGGCUUGGACCCCCACUCUAUGCCCCCGGCUCCUCUGUGGUGAGGAUUGCCCAAGACUGGGUUGGUGUGCUCGCUGUGUCCCUGUUGUCAGGGGUGAUGCCUUCCUCCCCACUUGCUCUGGUGGACUUCCAGGCCCUGCCCCUGCAGGGUCCCCUUCCACCCCCCAAGGGGCGCUCCCAUAAAGGAAGGGCACCGAGGAACGAGGAGUUUGCUGUGACACAGUGGAGGUGCAGAGUGGUCAGGGAACCAUGGAGCUUUGAGGUUUGGGAGUGAGAGGCAGGAAGAGUAGGAGACGAGCAGACCCCAGCCUGGGCCUGAGGCUUCCAUCCAGGCAGCAAAGGCUCC